CCUCCAUUUCUUGGUGGGGAUGGGGCCUCUGGUCCUGGCCCCCGUAAUGUAUGGAGUAGAGAGAAAGAGGUCAGAUGCCUGGGCCCCUUGGCAUCAUAUCUUCAGUACUGGUGGCUUCUAGUCUGCUGGUUUUAUCCUCAAGGACCAGGACACAG
This is a small nucleolar RNA of Hippopotamus amphibius kiboko, 155 nucleotides long. RefSeq annotates it as small nucleolar RNA SNORA57. Lineage: Eukaryota; Metazoa; Chordata; Mammalia; Artiodactyla; Hippopotamidae. The record is from RefSeq and is a predicted model, not a curated record. The transcript has a single exon.